UACAGAGGGUGCGAGAGUUAAUCGGAAUUACUGGGCGUAAAGCGCAGGUAGGUGGCGACGUAAGUCGGGUGUGAAAGCCCCGGGCUCAACCUGGGAAUUGCAUUCGAGACUGCAUUGCUGGAGUACGGAAGAGGAGGGCGGAAUUCCCGGUGUAGCGGUGAAAUGCGUAGAUAUCGGGAGGAACAUCAGUGGCGAAGGCGGCCCUCUGGUCCAGUACUGACACUCAAGAGCGAAAGCGUGGGGAGCAAAUAGG
RNAcentral lists this ribosomal RNA (253 nucleotides) under uncultured bacterium. RNAcentral describes it as "partial 16S ribosomal RNA". It matches the Rfam family "Bacterial small subunit ribosomal RNA", at positions 524 to 776 of the family's 1533-position model. The record is from RNAcentral.